ACAAGCGGUGAGUAUGUGGUUAUUCGAUGCAACGCGAAGAACCUUACCUGGUCUUGACAUCCCGGAGACCCUUAGGAAACUAGGGGUGCUCCAUCUGGAAGAAUCUGGAGACAGGUGCUGCAUGGCUGUCGUCAGCUCGUGUCGUGAGAUGUUGGGUUAAGUCCCGCAACGAGCGCAACCCUUGCCUUUAGUUGCCAGCAGUUCGGCUGGGCACUCUAAAGGGACUGCCGGUGUUAAACCGGAGGAAGUGGGGAUGACGUCAAGUCCUCAUGGCCUUUAUGACCAGGGCUACACACGUACUACAAUGGCCGAUACAAAGGGCAGCGACACUGCGAGGUGAAGCCAAUCCCGUAAAAUCGGUCUCAGUCCGGAUUGGAGUCUGCAACUCGACUCCAUGAAGUUGGAAUCGCUAGUAAUCGUGGAUCAGCAUGCCACGGUGAAUACGUUCCCGGGCCUU
Molecule: ribosomal RNA, 457 nt
Filed under: uncultured Desulfobulbus sp.
Lineage: Bacteria; Pseudomonadati; Thermodesulfobacteriota; Desulfobulbia; Desulfobulbales; Desulfobulbaceae
Description: bacterial SSU rRNA
Rfam family: Bacterial small subunit ribosomal RNA
Source: RNAcentral